Molecule: long non-coding RNA, 650 nt
Filed under: Sarcophilus harrisii (Tasmanian devil)
Lineage: Eukaryota; Metazoa; Chordata; Mammalia; Dasyuromorphia; Dasyuridae
Description: lncRNA (ENSSHAG00000031704.1)
Source: RNAcentral
GCCAGGAACAUCCUGCUUCCUUUUCUUACUUAGUCUGACCCUGGGCAGCUCAGUCAGUCCCUCCGCAGCAUCUGUUAAACCCGGUCUAGGCAAGAGCGGAAGGAGUCCAAGCCCGCCUGGCAUCAUGAAGCCCCUCGGAGAGCCCGGCCGGGACUAGCAGGCAGCCGGGAACGGGGAGCCAAGGCUGCCAAGCCAGCCUCAAGUCACCCGUCUUGGGCGCCCACGCUCCCCAGCCAUAUGGCCUGAGAAAUGGGACCAUUGUUAGGCCCUACUCGGAGUCAUUUGCUGCGGCUGCUGCCUUCCCGCCCCCCACAGCUCAGCUCCCUCGCGGGCCGGGGCCGGUCUCCUUCCCAGCAGCCUCCUGGAGCCAGCGCCUCUGCUCCCUUUCCUUCAGGCCCCGUCGCGUCACCCACGCUGGCAGCGCUCGGCAGGGGCUGAAGGGCAACCUCUCUACAACUCAAAGGGGGGGUUCUAAGACGGGGCUUGGUGUCCAACACUAGUGAGAAGCUCCCGCUCAGGGCUCGCAGAGCAUCUAAUGAGACCCGGGGGGGGUCGAGCCCCUGCCCAUGACCCUCCCUUGUCCCUCUUCUCCUCAGUCUUCCAAGAUCUAGAAAUACGAAUAAUAAUAAAAGAUGAAUAAUAAAAUGUUA